GGGCCCGCACAAGCGGUGGAGCAUGUGGUUUAAUUCGAUGCAACGCGAAAAAACCUUACCAGGCCUUGACAUCCAGAGAACUUACCAGAGAUGGUUCGGUGCCUUCGGGAACUCUGUGACAGGUGUUGCAUGGCUGUCGUCAGCUCGUGUCGUGAGAUGUUGGGUUAAGUCCCGUAACGAGCGCAACCCUUAUCCUUACUUGCCAGCACGUAAUGGUGGGAACUUUAAGAGACUGCCGUGACAAACCGGAGGAAGGAGAGGAUGAUGUCAAGUCAUCAUGCCCUUACGGCUGGCUACACACGUGCUACAAUGGGAAGUACAAAGGUCGCAAUACCGCGAGUGGAGCA
This 347-nucleotide ribosomal RNA is filed under the name uncultured bacterium. Its description in RNAcentral is "bacterial SSU rRNA". It matches the Rfam family "Bacterial small subunit ribosomal RNA", at positions 917 to 1269 of the family's 1533-position model. The record is from RNAcentral.